GAUGAACGCUAGCGGUAGGCUUAACACAUGCAAGUCGAGGGGUAACGUGUUGGUAGCUUGCUUCCGAUGACGACGACGGGCGGAUGGGUGCGUAACGCGUAUGCAACUUGCCUCACAGAGGAGAAUAACCCGGAGAAAUCCGGACUAAUACUCCAUACACGCUUAAGUACGCCUGUACAUGAGAGGAAAGAUUUAUCGCUGUGAGAUAGGCAUGCGUCCUAUUAGGUAGUUGGUGAGGUAACGGCUCACCAAGCCGACGGUAGGUAGGGGUGCUGAGAGGCAGGUCCCCCACGUAGGGACUCAGGCACGGCCCAAAUACCGACGGGAGGCAGCAGUGAGGAAUAUUGGUCAAUGGAGGAAACUCUGAACCAGCCAGGUCGCGUGAAGGAAGAAUGUCCUUAGGAUUGUAAACUUCUUUAGCGAGCGAGUAAGUACUUCAACGUGAUGGGAGUUUGAAAGUAGCUCGAGAAUAAGUAUCGGCUAACUCCGUG
This 491-nucleotide ribosomal RNA is filed under the name uncultured bacterium. RNAcentral's name for it is "partial 16S ribosomal RNA". It matches the Rfam family "Bacterial small subunit ribosomal RNA", at positions 28 to 507 of the family's 1533-position model. The record is from RNAcentral.